This 497-nucleotide ribosomal RNA is filed under the name uncultured bacterium. RNAcentral's name for it is "partial 16S ribosomal RNA". It matches the Rfam family "Bacterial small subunit ribosomal RNA", at positions 28 to 507 of the family's 1533-position model. The record is from RNAcentral.
GAUGAACGCUGGCGGCGUGCCUAAUACAUGCAAGUCGAGCGAACAGACGAGGAGCUUGCUCCUCUGACGUUAGCGGCGGACGGGUGAGUAACACGUGGAUAACCUACCUAUAAGACUGGGAUAACUUCGGGAAACCGGAGCUAAUACCGGAUAAUAUAUUGAACCGCAUGGUUCAAUAGUGAAAGACGGUUUUGCUGUCACUUAUAGAUGGAUCCGCGCCGCAUUAGCUAGUUGGUAAGGUAACGGCUUACCAAGGCAACGAUGCGUAGCCGACCUGAGAGGGUGAUCGGCCACACUGGAACUGAGACAAGGUCAAGACUACUACGGGAGGCAGCAGUAGGGAAUCUUCCGCAAUGGGCGAAAGCCUGACGGAGCAACGCCGCGUGAAUGAUGAAGGUCUUCGGAUCGUAAAACUCUGUUAUUAGGGAAGAACAAAUGUGUAAGUAACUAUGCACGUCUUGACGGUACCUAAUCAGAAAGCCACGGAUAACUACGUG